Papio anubis (olive baboon) is the source of this 1692-nucleotide long non-coding RNA. NCBI's taxonomy places the organism in Eukaryota, Metazoa, Chordata, Mammalia, Primates, Cercopithecidae. The record is from Ensembl.
CCCAGUAAUAAUCACACCACACUCACACCACACAAUGUUCACAUACACACACCCAGUACACACCACACACACACACCACACACCAUACACACACCCAGUACACACCACACACUCACACACCAUACACACACCCAGUACACACCACACACCACACACCAUACACACACACCACACACUAUACACACACACCCAGCACACACACCACACACUACACACCACACACAACCCACACACACACCAGUACACACCACACACACACACCACACACCAUACACACACCCAGUACACACCACACACUACAAUCACCAUACACACACCCAGUACACACCACACACUACAAUAACUACAAUAAUAACCACACACUAUACACACACCCAGUACACACACCACACUACACACCACACACCACACACCAUACACAGCCCACAUACACACACCCAGUACACACCACACAUAAUAACACCACACAAUUACACACACCCAGUGCACAUCACACACCACACACACACCCAUGACAUACACACCCCCCACACACACCACACACACACACCACACACACAUCACACAUACACCCAACACACACCACGUACACACACCCAGUACACAUCACACACCUCACACACACCACACACCUCACACACACCCAUCAAACACUACACACCUCACACACACCACAUACACACCCAAUACACACAUCACACACACACACCCAACACACACACACACCACACACACCACACACCUCACACACACCCAUCAAACACUACACACCUCACACACACCACAUACACACACACACCCAACACACACACACACACCCAACACACACACCACACACACACCACACCUCACACACACCCAUCAAACACUACACACCUCACACACACACCCAUGACAUACACACCCAACACACACAUCACACACAUACACCCAACAAACACCACACACCUCACACACACACCCAUGACAUACACACCCCACACAUACACCACACACAUCACACAUAACACCCAACACACCACACACCACACACACACCCAUCAAACACUCCUCUCACAGCCGACACACGCACACACACACACACCCAACACACACCUCACACACUGCACACAUCACACGCACCACAUAACCCUAAAAACAUUACACACACCUCAGACAGAUCCCCCACACACGUCACACACACCCAACACACACUACACACAUACCCAUCACACACCUCACAUAUCUCACACAAUCGCACACCUCACACACUCAUCACACACCUCACACACACCCCCAUCACACGCCUCAAACAUCCACACUAUCACACACAACACACCUCACACACCCAACACACACAAACAUCACACACCCAACACACACCACACACCCCAAAUACACAUAUCACACACCUCACACACACAACACACCACACACCCCCAGAAAACCCACAUAUUACACACACAUCUCACACACCUCACACACACCACACACCAAACACACAUGGACACAACAUACAUAUCACACACACCUAACCGUGAACCACAUACCCAACACACACACAACACAUAUCACACACCAGCCACACCACACACACCCAGAAAACACACAUCACACACACCUCACAUGCAUCACACACCACACACACCCAACACACACCACAAACAUCACACACCUCACACACGCACAGACAGUACACAAAAGUACACAUGA